This 1059-nucleotide long non-coding RNA is filed under the name Vombatus ursinus (common wombat). Its description in RNAcentral is "lncRNA (ENSVURG00010001518.1)". The record is from RNAcentral. Lineage: Eukaryota; Metazoa; Chordata; Mammalia; Diprotodontia; Vombatidae.
UAUAGCUGGGAGCCACUGAAGGUGCUGGGCUGUAGCCUGCUGAAGCGCGAAGGCAAGCCCCCGGCCCAGCCCUCAGCCCCGCCGCCCCCGCCCCCCUCCAAGAAGCCGGCCAGGGCCCCCGCGGGACGGGAGCUCUGCAAGGACGAGGGAAGCGAGCAACCACGAGAAGUCGGGGCACCAGCCACUCCGGAGGCGGGGGCUACCGGGGCAGAGGGCGUGCAAACCCCGGGGGCAGAAGGCGAGAAGACCCCGGGGGCAGAAAGGGAGCAGACCCGGGGGACUGAAGGCGAGAAGACCCCAGGGGCAGAAGGGGAGCAGACCCGGGGGACUGAAGGCGAGAAGACCCCAGGGGCAGAAGGGGAGAAGACCCCAGGGGCAGAAGGGGAGCAGACCCGGGGGACUGAAGGCGAGAAGACCCCGGGGGCAGAAGGAGAGCAGAUCUCGGGGCCUGAAAGCGAGAAGACCCCAGGGGCAGAAGGGGAGCAGACCCGGGGGACUGAAGGCGAGAAGACCCCGGGGGCAGAAGGGGAGAAGACCCCAGGGGCAGAAGGGGAGCAGACCCGGGGGACUGAAGGCGAGAAGACCCCAGAGGCGGGGGCUGCUGGGGAAGAAGGCAAGCAGCCUCAGGACCAAGGCCAGGGCCAGUUGCUGGAGCAUGCAGAAGUUCCCAGUCAGGAGGAGAAAGGCGUUGACAACCAGAAAAUCGAGAUGAUCGAGAAAAGGGCUGAGGAAGGAGAAGUUCUGGAGGAAGGAAGGUUGAAAUGGAACGAAGUAAAUAAAUCGUUUUCUUCUGAGGGAGGUAACCUUUCCCAAGGGACCGGGGCUCAAUGCUCGGAACUAGAACUUGAGGCCACCACAGAUAGCCCAGCCACCACAGCCUUGGGAGUGAAGGAAGUCUAUGUGAACCAGAGAGAGUACGAGGAAGAAAGCCUUGUGAGGAGCGAUGCCCACGAAAUGAUGGCAGGGGAGCAGCUUAGUCAAGGGGCCGAGGAAGAGAAGCAAGCCCUCCAGGGCGCUGAUGGAGGAGGAGAGGUGGAGAAGGAGCCUGAGGGAGGAUAG